RNAcentral lists this transfer RNA (75 nucleotides) under Heliophilum fasciatum. RNAcentral's name for it is "tRNA-Thr". It matches the Rfam family "tRNA". Rfam says of the family: Transfer RNA (tRNA) molecules are approximately 80 nucleotides in length. Their secondary structure includes four short double-helical elements and three loops (D, anti-codon, and T loops). RNAcentral also lists the same sequence under 2 other names. The record is from RNAcentral. Lineage: Bacteria; Bacillati; Bacillota; Clostridia; Eubacteriales; Heliobacteriaceae.
GCCGAUGUGGCUCAGGGGUAGAGCAGCUCACUCGUAAUGAGCAGGUCGCCGGUUCGAAUCCGGCCAUCGGCUCCA